RNAcentral lists this ribosomal RNA (484 nucleotides) under uncultured bacterium. Its description in RNAcentral is "partial 16S ribosomal RNA". It matches the Rfam family "Bacterial small subunit ribosomal RNA", at positions 30 to 507 of the family's 1533-position model. The record is from RNAcentral.
AUUGAACGCUGGCGGCAGGCCUAACACAUGCAAGUCGAGCGGUAGAGAGAAGCUUGCUUCUCUUGAGAGCGGCGGACGGGUGAGUAAUGCCUAGGAAUCUGCCUGGUAGUGGGGGAUAACGUUCGGAAACGGACGCUAAUACCGCAUACGUCCUACGGGAGAAAGCAGGGGACCUUCGGGCCUUGCGCUAUCAGAUGAGCCUAGGUCGGAUUAGCUAGUUGGUGGGGUAAUGGCUCACCAAGGCGACGAUCCGUAACUGGUCUGAGAGGAUGAUCAGUCACACUGGAACUGAGACACGGUCCAGACUCCUACGGGAGGCAGCAGUGGGGAAUAUUGGACAAUGGGCGAAAGCCUGAUCCAGCCAUGCCGCGUGUGUGAAGAAGGUCUUCGGAUUGUAAAGCACUUUAAGUUGGGAUGAAGGGCAGUAAAUUAAUACUUUGCUGUUUUGACGUUACCGACAGAAUAAGCACCGGCUAACUCUGUG